GUGACGCCCGAGUGAUCCACACCCUCACCAGCACUCAGGCAAAGGGUGGAGUUCCAUCUCUGAAGCUAAACAGGCAAUUUGGACAGCACAUUCUUAGCAGCGGAACCUGGACAGCAUUUACCAGACAAGAGACUUGUUCCACUGC
This is a long non-coding RNA of Molossus molossus (Pallas's mastiff bat), 145 nucleotides long. RefSeq lists it as uncharacterized. Lineage: Eukaryota; Metazoa; Chordata; Mammalia; Chiroptera; Molossidae. The record is from RefSeq and is a predicted model, not a curated record. The transcript has 3 exons.